This 430-nucleotide ribosomal RNA is filed under the name uncultured bacterium. RNAcentral describes it as "partial 16S ribosomal RNA". It matches the Rfam family "Bacterial small subunit ribosomal RNA", at positions 29 to 507 of the family's 1533-position model. The record is from RNAcentral.
ACGAACGCUGGCGGCAGGCUUAACACAUGCAAGUCGAGCGCCCCGCAAGGGGAGCGGCAGACGGGUGAGUAACGCGUGGGAAUCUACCCAUCACUACGGAACAACUCCGGGAAACUGGAGCUAAUACCGUAUACGUCCUUCGGGAGAAAGAUUUAUCGGUGAUGGAUGAGCCCGCGUUGGAUUAGCUAGUUGGUGGGGUAAAGGCCUACCAAGGCGACGAUCCAUAGCUGGUCUGAGAGGAUGAUCAGCCACACUGGGACUGAGACACGGCCCAGACUCCUACGGGAGGCAGCAGUGGGGAAUAUUGGACAAUGGGCGAAAGCCUGAUCCAGCCAUGCCGCGUGAGUGAUGAAGGCCCUAGGGUUGUAAAGCUCUUUCAACGGUGAAGAUAAUGACGGUAACCGUAGAAGAAGCCCCGGCUAACUUCGUG